Elaeis guineensis (African oil palm) is the source of this 373-nucleotide long non-coding RNA. RefSeq lists it as uncharacterized. Lineage: Eukaryota; Viridiplantae; Streptophyta; Magnoliopsida; Arecales; Arecaceae. The record is from RefSeq and is a predicted model, not a curated record.
CAUGGUAGGUCCGCGGCUGCCUUUCUAGCUAAAAAGAUGAUAUACACUUGGCAGGGGCUGGAAUACCACAAAACCAUGCCAGGAUUGGAGAGCCAAGAUGGCAAGAAGCUAGAAUGACCGGAAAAGUAGUCCUUCCAGAGCGUGACGGCAAGUGAAAAACAUGGUUAUGGGUUUUUUUCAAGGGUUUAGUCAUAAGAAGAUAUUAGGUGAUGGAAGCUCAGCAAAAAGCUCAUUGAAGUAUUUAAUCAACUGUAGUUUUACAUGUGCUAAUCUGCAUUAAGCCAUAUCUGGCUCUGCUAUGUUCCUGUGUGCCUGCCCAGGAAACCAGGCAUCUUAAACAGUGAUCAAUGAGAAAUUAAAGUUCUCCGCGGAA